UUGACUUGAGGAAGGUAGGGGAGAAUGGAAUUCCUGGUGGAGCGGUGGAAUGCGCAGAUAUCAGGAGGAACACCAGUGGCGAAGGCGGUUCUCUGGGCCUUUCCUGACGCUGAGGAGCGAAAGCGUGGGGAGCGAACAGGCUUAGAUACCCUGGUAGUCCACGCUGUAAACGGUGGGUACUAGGUGUGGGGUCCUUCCAGGGUUCCGUGCCGUAGCUAACGCUUUAAGUACCCCGCCUGGGGAGUACGGCCGCAAGGCUAAAACUCAAAGGAAUUGACGGGGCCCCGCACAAGCGGCGGAGCAUGCGGAUUAAUUCGAUGCAACGCGUAGAACCUUACCUGGGUUUGACAUGAUCGGGAGUGCUCAGAGAUGGGUGUGCCUCUUUUGGGGUCGGUUCACAGGUGGUGCAUGGCUGUCGUCAGCUCGUGUCGUGAGAUGUUGGGUUAAGUCCCGCAACGAGCGCAACCCUUGUUCACUGUUGCCAGCACGUUAUGGUGGGGACUCAGUGGAGACCGCCGGGGUCAACUCGGAGGAAGGUGGGGAUGACGUCAAGUCAUCAUGCCCCUUAUGUCCAGGGCUUCACGCAUGCUACAAUGGCUGGUACAGAGAGUGGCGAGCCUGUGAGGGUGAGCGAAUCUCGGAAAGCCGGUCUCAGUUCGGAUUGGGGUCUGCAACUCGACCUCAUGAAGUCGGAGUCGCUAGUAAUCGCAGAUCAGCACGCUGCGGUGAAUACGUUCCCGGGGCUGU
This 747-nucleotide ribosomal RNA is filed under the name uncultured Propionibacterium sp. RNAcentral describes it as "bacterial SSU rRNA". It matches the Rfam family "Bacterial small subunit ribosomal RNA", at positions 637 to 1384 of the family's 1533-position model. Lineage: Bacteria; Bacillati; Actinomycetota; Actinomycetes; Propionibacteriales; Propionibacteriaceae. The record is from RNAcentral.